AUGUGUAGGACACACAGUGAACAUUCCAGAAUGUGUGUCCCGAGGCGGGCCAGGGCGUUCUGCUGGCCCCGUGCCUGGCUUGGUGCUGGCAGCAUUUGCUGCCCAGGAAGGACGUGGACAGGUGGAAGACGGUACCCGCGGCCACCAUACAGGGUCAGGGGUUACGGAGGAGGAGCCCACCACCCAGGGUCAGGGGUUACGGAGGAGGAGGCCACCGCCCAGGGUCAGGGGUUACGGAGGAGGAGGCCACCGCCCAGGGUCAGGGGUUACGGAGGAGGAGGCCACCGCCCAGGGUCAGGGGUUAUGGAACAGGAGGCCACCGCCCAGGGUCAGGGGUUACGGAGGAGGAGCCCACCGCCCAGGGUCAGGGGUUACGGAGGAGGAGCCCACCGCCCAGGGUCAGAGGCCACCGCCCAGGGUCAGGGGUUACGGAGGAGGAGGCCACCGCCCAGGGUCAGGGGUUACGGAGGAGGAGCCCACCACCCAGGGUCAGGGGUUACGGAGGAGGAGGCCACCGCCCAGGGUCAGAAGAGGUGGCAACCGCCCAGGGUCAGGGGUUACGGAGGAGGAGGCCACCGCCCAGGGUCAGGGGUUACGGAGGAGGAGCCCACCGCCCAGGGUCAGGGGUUACGGAGGAGGAGGCCACCGCCCAGGGUCAAGAGGCAACCACCCAGGGUCAGGGGUUACGGAGGAGGAGGCCACCAAGAGGUGGCCACCGCCCAGGGUCAGGGGUUACGGAGGAGGAGGCCACCGCCCAGGGUCAGGGGUUACGGAGGAGGAGCCCACCGCCCAGGGUCAGGGGUUACGGAGGAGGCCACCGCCCAGGGUCAGGGGUUACAGAGGAGGAGCCCACCACCCAGGGUCAGGGGUUACGGAGGAGGAGCCCACCGCCCAGGGUCAGGGGUUACGGAGGAGGAGCCCACCGCCCAGGGUCAGGGGUUACGGAGGAGGCCACCGCCCAGGGUCAGGGGUUACAGAGGAGGCCCAGGGUCAGGGUUAUGGAGGAGCUCAGGGGAGCGCCCAGGGUCAGGGGUUACGGAGAAGGAGGCCACCGCCCAGGGUCAGAAGAGGUGGCCACAGCCCAGGGUCAGGGGUUACGGAGGAGGCAGCCACCGCCCAGGGUCAGGGGUUACGGAGGAGGGUCAGGGUUACAGCCACCAGGGUCAGGGGUUAGGAGGAGGAGGCCACCGCCCAGGGUCAGAAGAGGCAGCCACCCAGGGUCAGGGGUUACGGAGGAGGAGGCCACCGCCCAGGGUCAGGGGUUACGGAGGAGGAGGCCACCGCCCAGGGUCAGGGGUUACGGAGGAGGCGCCCACUGCCCAGGGUCAGGGGUUACGGAGGAGGAGCCCACCGCCCAGGGUCAGGGGUUACGGAGGAGGAGGCCACCGCCCAGGGUCAGGGGUUACGGAGGAGGAGCCCACCGCCCAGGGUCAGGGGUUACGGAGGAGGUGGCCACUGCCCAGGGUCAGGGGUUACGGAGGAGGUGGCCACCGCCCAGGGUCAGGGGUUACGGAGGAGGAGCCCACCGCCCAGGGUCAGGGGUUACGGAGGAGGUGGCCACCGCCCAGGGUCAGGGAUUACAGAGGAGGAGGCCACCGCCCAGGGUCAGGGGUUAUGGAAAAGGAGGCCACUGCUACCCCAGCUCUCUAA
Macaca fascicularis (crab-eating macaque) is the source of this 1650-nucleotide long non-coding RNA. The record is from Ensembl. Lineage: Eukaryota; Metazoa; Chordata; Mammalia; Primates; Cercopithecidae.